This 207-nucleotide ribosomal RNA is filed under the name uncultured bacterium. Its description in RNAcentral is "partial 16S ribosomal RNA". It matches the Rfam family "Bacterial small subunit ribosomal RNA", at positions 568 to 774 of the family's 1533-position model. The record is from RNAcentral.
CGCGUAGGCGGUUUGUCAAGUCGGUUGUGAAAGCCCUCGGCUCAACCGAGGAAUUGCAUCCGAUACUGGCAGGCUAGAGUAUGGUAGGGGAGAGUGGAACUCCUGGUGGAGCGGUGAAAUGCGUAGAUAUCAGGAGGAACGCCGGUGGCGAAAGCGACUCUCUGGACCACAACUGACGCUGAGGCGCGAAAGCCAGGGGAGCGAACG